RNAcentral lists this small RNA (477 nucleotides) under Pongo abelii (Sumatran orangutan). RNAcentral describes it as "processed transcript". Lineage: Eukaryota; Metazoa; Chordata; Mammalia; Primates; Hominidae. The record is from RNAcentral.
CAAAAAGUAACCCAGAGAAUAAAAAAUCAUUUUAAUAAGCUUAUGUCAUGAGGUCUUUACUGCAGCAACUCUCUCCCUGUCUCUUUCAGGUGGCCUUAAUUUGAACCCCUUAAAAUUUCUGGUUUUUGACUGGAACUGGAGAGAUCAGAAGUUGAGGAGAAUGAUGGACAUUCCUGAGAUAAGAAAGGAGGUAUUCGAACUUCUGGAAAUGGAAGUGCUCAGUCUGUGCAAGUCAGAAUCCUUGAAACUGGGCCUUUUCUAAGUCUGUGUCCUAAUGAAGAUUCCAGUUUUCACAGUAGAAGUUGCAUCUUAUUUAAUGACUCUGAUACAUUGCAAGCACUCAGUAAAUAUCAGCAAAUAGUUUAUGUUAACUGUGUCAGCAGAUGGAUCACUGGAAUGUGGGGAUUCUGAAACAGAAAUGAAACUGUCCUUUUGACAACUGUCUUAUAUAAUAAAGUAUCACCGGCUUGUGUAUGA